RNAcentral lists this ribosomal RNA (459 nucleotides) under uncultured bacterium. RNAcentral describes it as "partial 16S ribosomal RNA". It matches the Rfam family "Bacterial small subunit ribosomal RNA", at positions 338 to 795 of the family's 1533-position model. The record is from RNAcentral.
CCUACGGGAGGCAGUAGUGAGGAAUAUUUGUCAAUGGGCGCGAGCCUGAACCAGCCAAGUCGCUUGAGGGAAGACGGUCCUCUGGAUUGUAAACCUCUUUUUUCAGGGAGCAAAAGACGCCACGCGUGGCUUUCCGAGAGUACCCGAUGAAAAAGCAUCGGCUAACUCCGUGCCAGCAGCCGAGGUAAUACGGAGGAUGCGAGCGUUAUCCGGAUUUCUUGGGUUUAAAUGGUCAGAAGGCGGAAGAUAAAUUCCGCGUUAAAAUUGCGAGGCUAAACCGCUUCGAGCCGUUGAAACUGGUUGUCGUGAGUGAGUGAGAAGUAUGCGGAAUGCGGGGUGUAGCGGUGAAAUGCAUAGAUAUCACGCAGAACUCCGAUUGCGAAGGCAGCAUACCGGCGCUCAACUGACGCUCAUGCACGAAAGUGUGGGUAUCGAACAGGAUUAGAUACCCGUGUAGUC